Molecule: long non-coding RNA, 397 nt
Filed under: Sus scrofa (pig)
Lineage: Eukaryota; Metazoa; Chordata; Mammalia; Artiodactyla; Suidae
Description: lncRNA (ENSSSCG00025008728.1)
Source: RNAcentral
GGGAAUCCAAAGUGCCCCUGCCCCUCAAAGCAGAUGGGAAGGAAGAAGGCGCUGCCCAGCCGGAGAGCAAGUCGAAGAAGUCCAGCUCAUCCACCACCACGGGGGAGAAGAUCACCAAGGUGUAUGAGUUGGGGAACGAGCCGGAGCGAAAGCUGUGGGUGGACCGAUACCUCAGCUUCAUGGAGGAGAGGGGCUCCCCCGUCUCGAGUCUGCCCGCCGUGGGCAAGAAGCCCCUGGACCUGUUCCGACUCUAUGUCUGCGUCAAAGAGAUUGGAGGUUUGGCCCAGGUACGAGGGAGCGCAGGGCUCGCGAGGGUUGUCAUAGAGACGCUCACACACGCGGCAGCUUUCUUUGCAUAUACAGCAUAUACAGCAAUUGUUUCUCCGGAGAAAAAGCU